GGGGGUAUAGCUCAGUGGUAGAGCACAUGCUUAGCAUGCACAAGGUCCUGGGUUUAAUCCCAAGUACCUCCA
This 72-nucleotide transfer RNA is filed under the name Camelus bactrianus (Bactrian camel). It matches the Rfam family "tRNA". Rfam says of the family: Transfer RNA (tRNA) molecules are approximately 80 nucleotides in length. Their secondary structure includes four short double-helical elements and three loops (D, anti-codon, and T loops). The record is from Rfam by way of RNAcentral. RNAcentral also lists the same sequence under 2 other names. Lineage: Eukaryota; Metazoa; Chordata; Mammalia; Artiodactyla; Camelidae.